GACGAACGCUGGCGGCGUGCUUAACACAUGCAAGUCGAACGGAAAGGCCCUGCUUUGGGGGGGUGCGCGAGGGGCGAACGGGUGAGUAACACGUGAGUAACCUGCCCUUGACGGUGGGAUAACUGCAGGAAACUGGGGCUAAUACCGGAUAGGAGCGCCGGCUGCAGGGGGGGGGUUGGAAAGGUUGGGCGGUUGGGGAUGGACGCGCGGCUUAUCAGCUGGUGGGUGGGGUAGUGGCUUACCAAGGCUUGGACGGGUAGCCGGCCUGGGAGGGUGACCGGCCACAUUGGGACUGAGAUCCGGCCCAGCCUCCUCCGGGAGGCAGCGGUGGGGAUUAUUGCACAAUGGGCGGAAGCCUGAUGCAGCACCGCCGCGUGCGGGAUGCCGGCCUUCGGGUUGUAACCCGCUUUCGCAUGUGCCGAAGCGUGAGUGACGGUACUGGGUGAAGAAGCACCGGCUAACUACGUG
RNAcentral lists this ribosomal RNA (468 nucleotides) under uncultured bacterium. RNAcentral's name for it is "partial 16S ribosomal RNA". It matches the Rfam family "Bacterial small subunit ribosomal RNA", at positions 28 to 507 of the family's 1533-position model. The record is from RNAcentral.